UGGGGAAUAUUGGACAAUGGGGGCAACCCUGAUCCAGCAAUGCCGCGUGUGUGAAGAAGGUCUUCGGAUUGUAAAGCACUUUCGACGGGGACGAUGAUGACGGUACCCGUAGAAGAAGCCCCGGCUAACUUCGUGCCAGCAGCCGCGGUAAUACGAAGGGGGCUAGCGUUGCUCGGAAUGACUGGGCGUAAAGGGCGUGUAGGCGGUUUACACAGUCAGAUGUGAAAUCCCCGGGCUUAACCUGGGAGCUGCAUUUGAUACGUGUAGACUAGAGUGUGAGAGAGGGUUGUGGAAUUCCCAGUGUAGAGGUGAAAUUCGUAGAUAUUGGGAAGAACACCGGUGGCGAAGGCGGCAACCUGGCUCAUGACUGACGCUGAGGCGCGAAAGCGUGGGGAGCAAACAGGAUUAGAUACCCUGGUAGUCCAUGCCGUAAACGAUGAGCGCUAGGUGUUGGGGACUUUCCGGUCCUCAGUGCCGCAGCAAA
RNAcentral lists this ribosomal RNA (484 nucleotides) under uncultured bacterium. Its description in RNAcentral is "partial 16S ribosomal RNA". It matches the Rfam family "Bacterial small subunit ribosomal RNA", at positions 355 to 855 of the family's 1533-position model. The record is from RNAcentral.